This 497-nucleotide ribosomal RNA is filed under the name uncultured bacterium. RNAcentral describes it as "partial 16S ribosomal RNA". It matches the Rfam family "Bacterial small subunit ribosomal RNA", at positions 28 to 507 of the family's 1533-position model. The record is from RNAcentral.
GAUGAACGCUGGCGGCGUGCCUAAUACAUGCAAGUCGAGCGAACAGACGAGGAGCUUGCUCCUCUGACGUUAGCGGCGGACGGGUGAGUAACACGUGGAUAACCUACCUAUAAGACUGGGAUAACUUCGGGAAACCGGAGCUAAUACCGGAUAAUAUAUUGAACCGCAUGGUUCAAUAGUGAAAGACGGUUUUGCUGUCACUUAUAGAUGGAUCCGCGCCGCAUUAGCUAGUUGGUAAGGUAACGGCUUACCAAGGCAACGAUGCGUAGCCGACCUGAGAGGGUGAUCGGCCACACUGGAACUGAGACACGGUCCAGACUCCUACGGGAGGCAGCAGUAGGGAAUCGUCCGCAAUGGGCGAAAGCCUGACGGAGCAACGCCGCGUGAGUGAUGAAGGUCUUCGGAUCGUAAAACUCUGUUAUUAGGGAAGAACAAAUGUGUAAGUAACUAUGCACGUCUUGACGGUACCUGAUCAGAAAGCCACGGCUAACUACGUG